CCUACGGGGGGCUGCAGUGGGGAAUAUUGCACAAUGGGGGAAACCCUGAUGCAGCAACGCCGCGUGAGCGAUGAAGGCCUUCGGGUCGUAAAGCUCUGUCCUAAGGGAAGAAUACUGACGGUACCUUAGGAGGAAGCCCCGGCUAACUACGGGCCAGCAGCCGCGGUAAUACGUAGGGGGCUAGCGUUAUCCGGAAUUACUGGGCGUAAAGGGUGCGUAGGCGGCCCUUCAAGUCAGAGGUGAAAGGCUACGGCACAACCGUAGUAAGACUUUGGAACUGUAGGGCGUGAGUGCAGGAGAGGAGAGGCGAAUUCCCAGUGUAACGGUGAAAUGCGUAGAGAUUGGGAGUAACCCAAGUUGCGAAGGCGGCUCUCGGGACUGUAAAUGACGCUGAGGCACGAAAGCGUGGAAAGCCAACAGGAUUAGAUACACAAGUAGUC
This 440-nucleotide ribosomal RNA is filed under the name uncultured bacterium. Its description in RNAcentral is "bacterial SSU rRNA". It matches the Rfam family "Bacterial small subunit ribosomal RNA", at positions 338 to 795 of the family's 1533-position model. The record is from RNAcentral.